ACUGGAGGACUCAGGAGGCCGGAUCUGAUAAGGCAAGAUUUUGCUAAUACGUUGCUCCUAGAAAAGGGGUUGGCAAGAGCAGCCCUCACUGGAGACUAUCACAGGGACUGACUGUUCAACCCGACACUC
Molecule: small nucleolar RNA, 129 nt
Organism: Chlorocebus sabaeus (green monkey)
Lineage: Eukaryota; Metazoa; Chordata; Mammalia; Primates; Cercopithecidae
Source: Ensembl